GACGAACGCUGGCGGCGUGCUUAACACAUGCAAGUCGAACGGUGAAGCUCCAGCUUGCUGGAGUGGAUCAGUGGCGAACGGGUGAGUAACACGUGAGCAACCUGCCCCUGACUCUGGAAUAAGCGCUGGAAACGGCGUCUAAUACUGGAUACGAGAAGGGCCCGCAUGGGCACUUUCUGGAAAGUUUCUCGGUUGGGGAUGGGCUCGCGGCCUAUCAGCUUGUUGGUGAGGUAAUGGCUCACCAAGGCGACGACGGGUAGCCGGCCUGAGAGGGCGACCGGCCACACUGGGACUGAGACACGGCCCAGACUCCUACGGGAGGCAGCAGUGGGGAAUAUUGCACAAUGGGCGAAAGCCUGAUGCAGCGACGCCGCGUGAGGGAUGACGGCCUUCGGGUUGUAAACCUCUUUCAGCAGGGAAGAAGCGAAAGUGACGGUACCUGCAGAAGAAGCACCGGCUAACUACGUG
This 468-nucleotide ribosomal RNA is filed under the name uncultured bacterium. RNAcentral's name for it is "partial 16S ribosomal RNA". It matches the Rfam family "Bacterial small subunit ribosomal RNA", at positions 28 to 507 of the family's 1533-position model. The record is from RNAcentral.